GGAGGUAUUAUGGCUGCCAUCUUUAGAAAUUACAAUUUGCCACAGGUUGUGUUCCCUAGAAGCAGAGGUUGAAAUAGGGGUUCUUUUGUGAGUUAAGGAAGAGGGAGAAGCUAAGCGAGGAUGUAGCUUCAGGUGAAGUCCAGCUUCAACCUGAUCUUGUAGGCAGCACUGGAUCUCACAUUGUCUGCAGCAUUUGUCCUUCCUUGAGGCAAAAAAGUGGGGCUUUUGUACACACAUAUCAGUCAACCCUUAGCUUAGGGAAGCCCCAGGGGAAGGGUUGUAACUCCUAGGUAUCUCGUAGACAGGCAACUCCUCUUGCUUAAAGGCAUUUCCCAGACAAGGCUUGCUCUGUGAGCCUUUAAUAGCAGUUAAUAAAAAGAUUGCCAGAGAUCUGAUUGGGACUGCAACAGCCUCAGCUACAUUAAGAUAUGGGGGCACAUUCAAGGCCUGUUUUAUAGAGACUAGCAGAGACCAUAUAAGAAUCACUAACAUGAGCUGCAUACGCUGGAGGCCCCUCUGCUGUCAUUAUUUUAUGUGCUGGAAAACGCUGCGAUGGGAAGACAGCCCAGUCAGAUGGGGAUGGCCUGGAAUAGGAGCCAGUUCUGAUAUAGGAGGCAUUGUCAUCCCAUUUUACAGACGAAGAGACGGAGUCUCAAGUUUCCAUAGCUGGUGUGCACUUUAGUUCCUCAAGGACAAUAAUGCCCCACCCUUGAGGUCUAUCUGAACUUUUUCUCCAGAGAAUGAAGAUACUGUCAUUACCUCUGCAAAGAAUGCAUCCUAGCACAGAUCAAAGAUCUUCCAAGUCCAGCCACACCAUUUUACAGUUCUGAACCUCGACUUAGGAAAGCAGUGGAUCUUUAUACAUUUGACACAUCCCUUCCCUCUAGGAUCUCUGUGGCUAUUGAAAAUGGACUGGAGAAGAUGAGUGGGAGUGAGAAGAGGAUAACAGAAUCAGAUAAAAACCUGUCAUGUUACUAAGAGCAGGAGAUGAGGCAGCCUGGACCAAGAUGGUGGCAGAGAGAAGAAAAUUGCUUGAGAGAAUUGAUUAAACUACUUGGUUAGCACAGAUAGAGCUGAAUCAAAAAUUAGGAUGGUAAGCUAAGUAAUUUUACACACAAAAAGGCAGAGUUGCAUUCAUAAUUAGUCUCUCCUUCAGACUGAAUAUUACAGACAAAAUAUAGCCAUUGGUGUUGCAAUC
This is a long non-coding RNA of Homo sapiens (human), 1198 nucleotides long. Ensembl annotates it as long intergenic non-protein coding RNA 690. The record is from Ensembl. Lineage: Eukaryota; Metazoa; Chordata; Mammalia; Primates; Hominidae.